CAGAGUAGAAGCCGGAGCGUAAAGUGUUUUUUGAACGGGGAGUUGUCAAAAAAACGAAGGGUUUUGUCCUGCGGUUACGGUUUCGCAUCCCGCUGU
Molecule: non-coding RNA, 96 nt
Filed under: uncultured Ruminococcus sp.
Lineage: Bacteria; Bacillati; Bacillota; Clostridia; Eubacteriales; Oscillospiraceae
Description: THF riboswitch
Rfam family: THF (Tetrahydrofolate) riboswitch aptamer
About the family: THF riboswitch presents a pseudoknot that joins P1-P2 and the loop of P3 and two THF binding.
Source: RNAcentral